This is a non-coding RNA of Dipodomys ordii (Ord's kangaroo rat), 70 nucleotides long. The record is from Rfam. Lineage: Eukaryota; Metazoa; Chordata; Mammalia; Rodentia; Heteromyidae.
GGGAAGGUAGAUCAGUGGUAGAGCGCAUGCCUUGCAUGCAUGAGGCCCUGGGUUCGAUUCCUCAGCACCA